AUUGAACGCUGGCGGCAUGCCUUACACAUGCAAGUCGAACGGCAGCACGGGAGCAAUCCUGGUGGCGAGUGGCGAACGGGUGAGUAAUGUAUCGGAACGUACCUUUCAGUGGGGAUAACGUAGCGAAGUUACGCUAAUACCGCAUAUUCUGUGAGCAGGAAAGCAGGGGAUCGCAAGACCUUGCGCUGAUUGAGCGGCCGAUAUCAGAUUAGCUAGUUGGUGAGGUAAAGGCUCACCAAGGCGACGAUCUGUAGCGGGUCUGAGAGGAUGAUCCGCCACACUGGAACUGAGACACGGUCCAGACUCCUACGGGAGGCAGCAGUGGGGAAUUUUGGACAAUGGGCGCAAGCCUGAUCCAGCCAUGCCGCGUGAGUGAAGAAGGCC
This 384-nucleotide ribosomal RNA is filed under the name uncultured bacterium. RNAcentral describes it as "bacterial SSU rRNA". It matches the Rfam family "Bacterial small subunit ribosomal RNA", at positions 30 to 416 of the family's 1533-position model. The record is from RNAcentral.